UAGCAUAUCAAUAAGCGGAGGAAAAGAAACUAACAAGGAUUCCCCUAGUAACUGCGAGUGAAGCGGGAAAAGCUCAAAUUUAAAAUCUGGCAGCCUUCGGUUGUCCGAGUUGUAGUCUGGAGAAGCGUUUUCCGCGCUGGACCGUGUAUAAGUCCCUUGGAAUAGGGCGUCAUAGAGGGUGAGAAUCCCGUCUUUGACACGGACUACCAGUGCUUUGUGAUGCGCUCUCAAAGAGUCGAGUUGUUUGGGAAUGCAGCUCAAAAUGGGUGGUAAAUUCCAUCUAAAGCUAAAUAUUGGCGAGAGACCGAUAGCGAACAAGUACCGUGAGGGAAAGAUGAAAAGCACUUUGGAAAGAGAGUUAAACAGUACGUGAAAUUGCUGAAAGGGAAACGCUUGAAGUCAGUCGCGUUAUGCAGAACUCAGCCUGGCUUUUGCUUGGUGUAUUUUCUGUAUGACGGGUCAGCAUCAAUUUUGAUCGCUGGAAAAAGGUCUCAGAAAUGUGGCACCUUCGGGUGUGUUAUAGUCUGGGGUCAUAUACAGCGGUUGGGAUUGAGGUCUGCAGCACGCCUUUAUGGCUGGGGUUCGCCCACAUUCGUGCUUAGGAUGCUGGCGUAAUGGCUUUAAACGACCCGUCUUGAAACACGGACCAAGGAGUCUAACAUGCCUGCGAGUGUUUGGGUGGAAAACCCGAGCGCGUAAUGAAAGUGAAAGUUGAGAUCCCUGUCGUGGGGAGCAUCGACGCCCGGACCAGACCUUUUGUGACGGAUCUGCGGUAGAGCAUGUAUGUUGGGACCCGAAAGAUGGUGAACUAUGCCUGAAUAGGGUGAAGCCAGAGGAAACUCUGGUGGAGGCUCGUAGCGAUUCUGACGUGCAAAUCGAUCGUCAAAUUUGGGUAUAGGGGCGAAAGACUAAUCGAACCAUCUAGUAGCUGGUUCCUGCCGAGUCUCCC
Molecule: ribosomal RNA, 949 nt
Filed under: Cerrena sp.
Lineage: Eukaryota; Fungi; Basidiomycota; Agaricomycetes; Polyporales; Cerrenaceae
Description: partial large subunit ribosomal RNA
Rfam family: Eukaryotic large subunit ribosomal RNA
Source: RNAcentral